RNAcentral lists this ribosomal RNA (254 nucleotides) under uncultured bacterium. RNAcentral's name for it is "partial 16S ribosomal RNA". It matches the Rfam family "Bacterial small subunit ribosomal RNA", at positions 524 to 776 of the family's 1533-position model. The record is from RNAcentral.
UACGUAGGGUGCGAGCGUUAAUCGGAAUUACUGGGCGUAAAGGGCGCGUAGGCGGCCACCGCAAGUCAGUUGUGAAAUCUCUGGGCUUAACCCAGAAAGGUCAACUGAUACUGCGGGGCUAGAGUGCAGAAGGGGCAACUGGAAUUCUCGGUGUAGCGGUGAAAUGCGUAGAUAUCGAGAGGAACACCUGCGGCGAAGGCGGGUUGCUGGGCUGACACUGACGCUGAAGCGCGAAAGCUAGGGGAGCGAACGGG